Molecule: ribosomal RNA, 700 nt
Filed under: uncultured bacterium
Lineage: Bacteria
Description: bacterial SSU rRNA
Rfam family: Bacterial small subunit ribosomal RNA
Source: RNAcentral
AGAGGCGGACGGGUGAGGAAUAUUUGGGAAUCUGCCCAUCAGCGGGGGACAACCCGGGGAAACUCGGGCUAAUACCGCAUACGCUCUACGGAGGAAAGCCGGGGACCGCAAGGCCUGGCACUGAUGGAUGAGCCCAAAUCGGAUUAGCUAGUUGGCGGGGUAACGGCCCACCAAGGCGACGAUCCGUAGCUGGUCUGAGAGGACGAUCAGCCACACCGGAACUGAGACACGGUCCGGACUCCUACGGGAGGCAGCAGUGGGGAAUAUUGGACAAUGGGGGAAACCCUGAUCCAGCGACGCCGCGUGGGUGAAGAAGACCUGCGGGUUGUAAAGCCCUUUCGGUAGGGAAGAAAUCUCUUGCUCUAACAAAGCAAGGGUUUGACUUAACCUACAUAAGAAGCACCGGCUAACUCUGUGCCAGCAGCCGCGGUAAUACAGAGGGUGCGAGCGUUAAUCGGAAUUACUGGGCGUAAAGCGCACGUAGUCGGCUUGCCAAGUCGGGUGUGAAAUCCCCGGGCUCAACCUGGGAACUGCAUCCGAAACUGGCUUGCUAGAGUAUGGGAGAGGGAGGCGGAAUUUCUGGUGUAGCAGUGAAAUGCGUAGAUAUCAGAAGGAACAUCAGUGGCGAAGGCGGCCUCCUGGACCAAUACUGACGAUCAGGUGCGAAAGCGUGGGGAGCAAACAGGAUUAGAUACCCUGG